This 2517-nucleotide long non-coding RNA is filed under the name Mus musculus (house mouse). RNAcentral's name for it is "long non-coding RNA chr3:141650581-141653098". The record is from RNAcentral. Lineage: Eukaryota; Metazoa; Chordata; Mammalia; Rodentia; Muridae.
AGUUUCCUUCCCAAACUGUUGGCCUAUUAAGAAAAUGAAUGGCCAUUUUGCACUGCACACUCAUUUGAAUUACAUAGUCUUUGUACAACCUGGUGGUUAUUUUAUUCAUAUAAUUAUUCAUGUGCUUUUCUUAAGGCGCCUUUGUCUCACUGUGAUAAAAUAUAAAAUUUUGUGCAGUAAUUGCAUGGAGUCACCCACAAUGGGUGGUGCAGUUUGCUGCUUUUGCUGUUGCUAAAGAAUGAAAGGCACAAAUCAAGCUGCCAACCAUAAGUGAGCAAAAGAAGGUUAACAGAGCAAAACAGCAAUUAGCAGAAAAUGAACACAAAUAAGCCUUCCUUCAUCACAGAGGCCCUGGGGCGCACCCUCACUCUCUGCCUGCAAUAGCCAGCAACAGGAAACCAGGCCAGAAGUCCCUACUGUGGCCAAGACUUCUCUUAUAGUUCAUUAGUGAAAAAGAGUUCUAUACGUGAGUAGUAGGGUACAUACAUUCAGGCAAUAUACCCCCCUCCUCCCACAAUAUCACCUCUGUGAUCGAAUCUCUUCAUAGAAAGUGCUAAUAUUCCUCUGUGACAGAUAGUCUCUUCACACAGUGCUAAUAAAGAUAAUAUAAGACCAUGGAUAAAGGCUUAGACUUUUUUAUACACACAUUAAAAACAAAGGAUUAAAGUUAGGAAUGCAAUAAUAUAAACCAAUAUGUAUAAACAAUAUUGUGAGUUUUUGUUUUGUUUGUUUGCUUGCUUAGUUGGUUGGUUGGUUUGGUUUUUCAAGACAUGGUUUCUCUGUGUAGCCCUAGCUGUCCUGGAACUCAUUCUGUAGGCCAAGCUGGCCUCAAACUCAGAGAUCUGCCUGCCUCUGCCUCCCAAGAGCUGGGAUUAAAGGUGUGCCCCACUACUGACUGCCUAUGGUGUAGUUUUAAUAUGCAUUUAAUAUUGAAAUAUGUUCUAAGUCUUUGGAACAUGAGUGUCUUUUAACUCUUUUCAAUUUAGACUUUCUUCCUUGCCAGUGCUCAGCAGCAAAGUGUGGCCAGUGGCUAGUUAUCUGCACUUAUCUCCUCCACUCUCUUCUCUUUUCUUUUCCUUUUAGACACAGGAUCAUGUGGAGGAGAGGCUAGCCUUAAAUUUGCUAUUUAGAUGAAAAUGAUGUUAAACCCUUACUCCUCUUGCCUCCAUCUCUGGAGUUUUAGCUGUAUAGACAUGACCCACCAAGUCCAGUUUAUGUGCUGUUGGUGUUGAAUCUAGGGUUUCAUGCAUGCUAGGCAAGAGCUGAGUCACAUCCAUAGCUGGCACUGUGAAGUUCUUCUGCCGCCCGCCCCCUCUCCCCCCGCCCCGCACCUUUCUAUCUAGAGUUUGGUGUGUUUUUUAAAACACUUAUUAGAUUUUAAAUUAAUUCAUAAUUCUUAUUAAUAUCACAAUGGAGACUGAAAUGUCUCUGGUUUGUAAGCUGUUUUUUAAAUUAAUGGGUUUUUAAAUGUCACUAAAAAAUAUCUGUCAUUUUACUCAGAUUCUAGGACCACGGGGAAAGAAGACAGUUUUUAGCUUAUUAAAUUUGCUUCUAAAUACCUCAGUGUUCAACUGAAGUGCUCAUUUAGGGUAUAUUAUAAUUUCAUACAUAAGAUAACUACAUUGACUGUUAUUUUAGACACCCAAAUGUUUUUAAAUCAUGAAAGGGGUAUUCAUGCUGAUGUUAGCAGGCUGUCAGCAAACCGAAGGCUCAUUCAGAAAAUGUCUAGGUUCCUUUCACAGCCUGCAGUGCUUCUGUGAAAGAAUCUAUUCACUCUACAUGUUUGCCUGUCAUCAGUGGAAUUUUUUAGCCAUUCCUAGGGAAGAUAAUACUCAAUUAUUUUCCAGAGGUACAAUCUAUAUUCCAUUUCUAAUCUGUAAGCUUUUUCUUAGGAAAAAAAAAAAACAACAACAACAACCAAACUUCUAGGUGCUUACUAUAGCUGAAGAAUAUAGGCGUUUUUCCCUCUGCUUAAUUAUUUUUACCAUAAUGAUCUAAAUUAAUCUAUGUGAAAAGUAUAAAUAUCAAAACAGGAAAGACAAGAGGAUGCUAAUCUUUGUGCAAGUAAUAAUAUUCAAGGGUCUGAGCAGCAUCAGGGACACACUCUUAAUUAUGUAUUUCUGCUUCUUGAGAAUUAGCAUUAAUGUUUAAAUGAAGAAAUAAUUAUACUUUAUAGAAUAAAUAUAUAGGACAUUUGAUGUGUCAAAUAUCCACAUGUAACCCCAUAGGAAGAACAGCAAUAUCAACCAACCAGAACCCAAGAGCUCUCAGGGACUAAACCACCAACCAAAGAGUACAUAAGGAGUGACCCAUGGCUCCAGUCACAUAUGUAGCAGAGGAUGGCCUUUUGUGGCACCAAUGAGAGGGGAGGCCCUUGGUCUUGUGAAGGCCAGGACAGAGAGGUGGGAGUGGGUGGGUGAGUAGGAGAACACCCUCAUAGAAGCAGGGGAUAGGGGAUUUCUAGAGGUGGGGACCAGGAAAGGGGAUAACAUUUGAAAUGUAAAUAAAUAAAAUAUC